AAAUGCGAUAAGUAAUGUGAAUUGCAGAAUUCAGUGAAUCAUCGAAUCUUUGAACGCACAUUGCGCCCGCCAGUAUUCUGGCGGGCAUGCCUGUCCGAGCGUCAUUUCAACCAUCAAGCCCCCGGGCUUGUGUUGGGGACCUGCGGCUGCCCGCAGGCCCUGAAAACCAGUGGCGGGCUCGCUGUCACACCGAGCGUAGUAGCAAUCACCUCGCUCAGGGCGUGCUGCGGGUUCCGGCCGUUAAACAGCCUUACAAAACCCAAGGUUGACCUCGGAUCAGGUAGGAAGACCCGCUGAACUUAGGC
Molecule: unclassified non-coding RNA, 305 nt
Filed under: plant metagenome
Description: partial contains 5.8S ribosomal RNA, internal transcribed spacer 2, and large subunit ribosomal RNA
Rfam family: 5.8S ribosomal RNA (bases 1-104)
Source: RNAcentral